Molecule: long non-coding RNA, 308 nt
Organism: Syngnathus acus (greater pipefish)
Lineage: Eukaryota; Metazoa; Chordata; Actinopteri; Syngnathiformes; Syngnathidae
Exons: 2
Source: RefSeq, a predicted model, not a curated record
CGGUGACCAGUCCCUCUCGUACCAACCUCCGAGACUGACUGAUGAGAGGAAGAGUCUGCCAGCAAGAUCAUAUUGUCAGCAUUGAUCGCCACUUUAAAUUUCCACAGAGAAAAUCCAAAGGAUGACAGGGAAAGAAGUUCUGUUAGGAAUGAGCACAAAUUCACCUGGACCAGCAGUUUGAUUCGUGUUAUUCUUUGGAAUGGAAGGACGAGGAAGGAACGAAGGGGGAGUCUCUGACAAACAGGACUCCUCUCCAACUUCUCCACGAUGCGCUUAAAGCCUGGAUUCUCAUUCCUGGAAAAAAAAAA